UCUUCUAAACAGUCUGGCUAUAAAGCUUUCUUAAGACUGCAUGCAAGUAGUCAGUCUUCACAGAAAACUGUGAUGGAUUGGUACAUGAUGACUGCUGACUGGAAUCACUGUGGCUCCCCUUACUCCAAGUACCAAGACUUCAGGAGGAUUCUACUAAAUACAACAAAGCUAAAGAGUGGGAUCCAGUUCCUUAUAUAUAACGUGACACAGAGGUUGUUCCUCUUCCCUGAUGCCUCUUCCCUCCUUGCAUGAAUGACAGGCAGUUCCAUUCCUCCCAAGAAAAUCAUCUAGGGACAAAACUACCCCAUGCAUCAGACCAGUGAGGGGACUAAUUGUGUUGGGAGCAGCUCUGCAGAAAACACCUUGGGCUUCCAGUGGACAGCAAGAUGAACAUGAGCCAGGAAGAGGCAAUAAAGACCAACCACAUACUGUGCUACAAUAGCAAGUAUGUCGCCAACAGAUGGCCAUUUUCUGCUGCUGGACUGGAGGUGAACCUAGGUGAAUCAGCAUGUACCCAGUAACCAAUACUGCAGAGUCAGCAUUAACAGGAGUCAAGAAAUGCUGCCUCCCACAGAGACAAGACACUGGAACAACUGUGCAUAGCCUUCAGGAGAAGCAGUGUUUCCUUAUUCCUAUAAUGUUCAGAGCUUUCUGGGAACCAGGAACUGAAACUGGCUGAGGUGGUACCAGCAGGAUGACUGGCAUCCAUUCGCCUUGGUGAGAACAAGCAUCACUCUGCUCUCGCUGAGUUUCUGUUGUUUGGGUUGAUAAGCACUGUCUGGGAACUCACUCCAGGAAAGAUGCUGAGCCUGAAGACAGCCAAAACAGAGUUUUGCCAAAAAAGAAAAU
Melopsittacus undulatus (budgerigar) is the source of this 849-nucleotide long non-coding RNA. RefSeq lists it as uncharacterized. The record is from RefSeq and is a predicted model, not a curated record. Lineage: Eukaryota; Metazoa; Chordata; Aves; Psittaciformes; Psittaculidae. The transcript is spliced from 5 exons.